CGGGGAGUGGCGCAGCCUGGUAGCGCGCAGCGUUCGGGACGCUGAGGUCGGAGGUUCAAGUCCUCUCUCCCCGACCA
RNAcentral lists this transfer RNA (77 nucleotides) under bacterium. RNAcentral's name for it is "tRNA-Pro". It matches the Rfam family "tRNA". Rfam says of the family: Transfer RNA (tRNA) molecules are approximately 80 nucleotides in length. RNAcentral also lists the same sequence under 2 other names. The record is from RNAcentral.